UCCGAUAUGGUGUAGUGGCUAACAUUAUCGCCUCUCACAAGCUUAGCUGAAGUUCGAUUGCGCGAUAGCCCGGGGUUCGAUUCCCCGUGUCGGAA
Molecule: non-coding RNA, 95 nt
Organism: Lentinula boryana
Lineage: Eukaryota; Fungi; Basidiomycota; Agaricomycetes; Agaricales; Omphalotaceae
Source: the annotation of a GenBank genome assembly